Molecule: ribosomal RNA, 253 nt
Filed under: uncultured bacterium
Lineage: Bacteria
Description: partial 16S ribosomal RNA
Rfam family: Bacterial small subunit ribosomal RNA
Source: RNAcentral
UACGUAGGCAGCAAGCGUUGUUCGGAGUUACUGGGCGUAAAGAGUGCGUAGGCGGUCCUGUAAGUUUGGUGUGAAAUCUCCCGGCUUAACUGGGAGGGUGCGCCGAAAACUGGAAGGCUUGAGUAUGGGAGAGGUAAGCGGAAUUCCUGGUGUAGCGGUGAAAUGCGUAGAUAUCAGGAGGAACACCUGCGGUGUAGACGGCUUACUGGACCAUAACUGACGCUGAGGCACGAAAGCGUGGGUAGCAAACAGG